RNAcentral lists this long non-coding RNA (962 nucleotides) under Phasianus colchicus (ring-necked pheasant). Its description in RNAcentral is "lncRNA (ENSPCLG00000004953.1)". Lineage: Eukaryota; Metazoa; Chordata; Aves; Galliformes; Phasianidae. The record is from RNAcentral.
AUCACAGCGGCUUUCCCGCCUCUCCUUCACUGCAGCCUUCCCCCCUCCAAUCUCUGCAGCCUUCUCUCCUUCCCUCUCCUUGCUGCAUCCUUCCAGCCUCCCCGCGCUGCAACCUUCCCUCCCUCUGCUCUGAUUGGCUGUGCCCGUCCCGAGGCUGUUUGCACCGCGGUUCCUCACAGCACCCGCACCUCGAACCGGGCUGUUUAUCCACAGUAAAACCGCUGAGCUCUGCGAGAUCGGGAUUUGCAACGUUGUUGUAGCGAGAAGAUGUUACCAAAAACGCCACAGGAAGAAAAAAAUCUUACUAAUUUUGCGUUUAUCUCGGACCCCCCGUGCUGCAGAGGGGCGCGAGCAGCACGUGUUGCGUUCCGUCCUGUUGCGUUCCUCAGCUGCGAGGAGACCCGCGGCGCUCUGCAGACAGCGACCGCGCCUCGCUGCCGCUGCUCACAGAAGUAAAAUAUUUGAUAUACGUAUUCAGAAGACUGACGUAACUAAAAAAGAAAACAAUCAUGAAAAUUUAAAACUUAAAGGCAGAAAAAGGACCAAUUCCAUAGAAUCUCCACCCACAUCCCUUUCUCAGCAGGGCACUACAACAGUCUUAACAAGUAAAGUGCAAGAUGGAAACAUGACAUCAUUAAAACACUCUAAUUAGCUUCUAAUUUGUUCCAGAAAGGUAUCUGGUUACCAACUAAUUGAUGUAAACUGAUUAACCCUUUCUCCAACAUCCCAUUCGCCACUUUUUUUUAUACUUCCAUAGAAUGUAGUAAGGGUCAAGACUUUGUUGUGCUGCGCACUGUGCAAACACAAAUCAAAAAGACAAUUCUUACUUCAAAGAGCUUACAACGUAAUGUGUUGCAGGGGAGGUGAUACCUGCACACAAAAAGGAUUUGGAAUGAAUGGCUUAACACCAGCUAGCAUGUUUGACAGUGGUCUUAUCCUAGCAGCAGCUGGACAGUUCUGAG